GAUCUAUAGUUUAAAAAUAAGUACUUAUAUUUCACUGAAAGUCACUCUUUAAGUGAUUAUGUCUUAUUUUAACUAUGAUGAGAUAUUUUGACUAGAAAUGAGAAAAAUACACGUGGUAAGAUUUUGGUUUUUGCAGUGUUCAAAACCUCUGAUGAACAGAAUC
This is a long non-coding RNA of Sphaeramia orbicularis (orbiculate cardinalfish), 163 nucleotides long. RefSeq lists it as uncharacterized. The record is from RefSeq and is a predicted model, not a curated record. Lineage: Eukaryota; Metazoa; Chordata; Actinopteri; Kurtiformes; Apogonidae. The transcript has 3 exons.